UACGGGGGGAGCAAGCGUUGUUCGGAUUUACUGGGCGUAAAGGGCGCGUAGGCGGCCACCGCAAGUCGGUUGUGAAAUCUCCGGGCUUAACCCGGAAAGGUCAAUCGAUACUGCGGGGCUAGAGUGCAGAAGGGGCAACUGGAAUUCCUGGUGUAGCGGUGAAAUGCGCAGAUAUCAGGAGGAACACCGAUGGCGAAGGCAGGUCUCUGGGCAUUAACUGACGCUGAGGAGCGAAAGCAUGGGGAGCGAACAGG
This 254-nucleotide ribosomal RNA is filed under the name uncultured bacterium. RNAcentral's name for it is "partial 16S ribosomal RNA". It matches the Rfam family "Bacterial small subunit ribosomal RNA", at positions 524 to 776 of the family's 1533-position model. The record is from RNAcentral.